Molecule: unclassified non-coding RNA, 348 nt
Filed under: soil metagenome
Description: partial contains 5.8S ribosomal RNA, internal transcribed spacer 2, and large subunit ribosomal RNA
Rfam family: 5.8S ribosomal RNA (bases 1-120)
Source: RNAcentral
GAUGAAGAACGCAGUGAAAUGCGAUAAGUAGUGUGAAUUGCAGAAUUCAGUGAAUCAUCGAAUCUUUGAACGCACAUUGCGCCCGCUGGAACUCCGGCGGGCACGCCUGUCCGAGCGUCAUUUCAACCCUCAGGCCCCCCUUCGCGGGCGGGCCUGGUGUUGGGGCCCGGCCGCUACCCUGCGGCCGUCCCCUAAAUUCAGUGGCGGCCUCGCCGUGAUCCCUUGCGUAGUAAUGCACCUCGCACCGGAGAGCGCCGUGGCCACGCCGUAAAACCCCCAAUUUUCAAUGGUUGACCUCGGAUCAGGUGGGAAUACCCGCUGAACUUAAGCAUAUCAAUAAGCGGAGGA